AGUGAACGCUGGCGGUAGGCCUAACACAUGCAAGUCGAACGGCAGCACAGUAAGCGCUUGCCCCUAAGGGUGGCGAGUGGCGGACGGGUGAGGCAUACAUCGCCAUCUACUUUUUCGUGGGGAAUUACGGAGGGAAACAUAUGCUAAUAGCGCAUAUGACGUACGGGUGGAAUCAGGGGAUCUUCGCACCUUGCGCGUUUGAAAUAGACGAUGUCGGAUUAGCUAGUUGGCUGGGUAAAGGCCCACCAAGGCGACGAUCCGUAGCUGGUCUGAGAGGAUGAUCAGCCACACUGGAACUGAGACACGGUCCAGACUCCUACGGGAGGCAGCAGUAGGGAAUAUUGGGCAAUGGGCGAAAGCCUGAUCCAGCCACGCCGCGUGAGUGAUGAAGGCCUUCGGGUUGUAAAGCCCUGUUAUUGGGAAAGAAAAUCAGCAUAUGAAUACGCCGCUAUCUUGACGGUACCUAAAGAAAAAGCAACGGCUAACUUCGUG
RNAcentral lists this ribosomal RNA (492 nucleotides) under uncultured bacterium. RNAcentral describes it as "partial 16S ribosomal RNA". It matches the Rfam family "Bacterial small subunit ribosomal RNA", at positions 29 to 507 of the family's 1533-position model. The record is from RNAcentral.